This 889-nucleotide ribosomal RNA is filed under the name Dothiorella oblonga. RNAcentral's name for it is "LSU rRNA". It matches the Rfam family "Eukaryotic large subunit ribosomal RNA", at positions 37 to 944 of the family's 3401-position model. The record is from RNAcentral. Lineage: Eukaryota; Fungi; Ascomycota; Dothideomycetes; Botryosphaeriales; Botryosphaeriaceae.
AGCAUAUCAAUAAGCGGAGGAAAAGAAACCAACUGGGAUUGCCUUAGUAACGGCGAGUGAAGCGGCAACAGCUCAAAUUUGAAAGCUGGCCCCUUCGGGGUCCGCGUUGUAAUUUGUAGAGGAUGAUUCGGCGAGGGCUCCGGUCUAAGUCCCCUGGAACGGGGCGUCAUAGAGGGUGAGAAUCCCGUAUGUGACCGGUUGCCUUAGCCAUGUGAAUCUCCUUCGACGAGUCGAGUUGUUUGGGAAUGCAGCUCUAAAUGGGAGGUAAAUUUCUUCUAAAGCUAAAUACCGGCCAGAGACCGAUAGCGCACAAGUAGAGUGAUCGAAAGAUGAAAAGCACUUUGGAAAGAGAGUUAAAAAGUACGUGAAAUUGUUGAAAGGGAAGCGCUUGCAGUCAGACUUGUCCGCGGUUGCUCAGCCGGUCUCUUGACCGGCGUACUCUUCCGCGGCCAGGCCAGCAUCAGUUCGGGCGGUCGGAUAAAGACCUCGGGAAUGUAGCUCCUCUCGGGGAGUGUUAUAGCCCGGGGUGGAAUGCGGCCAGCCUGGACUGAGGAUCUCGCUUCGGCUAGGAUGCUGGCGUAAUGGCUGUAAGCGGCCCGUCUUGAAACACGGACCAAGGAGUCUAACAUCUAUGCGAGUGUUUGGGUGUCAAACCCAUACGCGUAAUGAAAGUGAACGGAGGUGGGAACCCUCACGGGUGCACCAUCGACCGAUCCUGAUGUCUUCGGAUGGAUUUGAGUAAGAGCAUAGCUGUUGGGACCCGAAAGAUGGUGAACUAUGCCUGAAUAGGGUGAAGCCAGAGGAAACUCUGGUGGAGGCUCGCAGCGGUUCUGACGUGCAAAUCGAUCGUCAAAUUUGGGUAUAGGGGCGAAAGACUAAUCGAACCAUC